AUUGAACGCUGGCGGCAGGCCUAACACAUGCAGGUCGAACGGUAACAGGAAACAGCUUGCUGUUUCGCUGACGAGUGGCGGACGGGUGAGUAAUGUCUGGGAAACUGCCUGAUGGAGGGGGAUAACUACUGGAAACGGUAGCUAAUACCGCAUAACGUCGCAAGACCAAAGAGGGGGACCCUCGGGCCUCUUGCCAUCGGAUGUGCCCAGAUGGGAUUAGCUUGUUGGUGGGGUAACGGCUCACCAAGGCGACGAUCCCUAGCUGGUCUGAGAGGAUGACCAGCCACACUGGAACUGAGACACGGUCCAGACUCCUACGGGAGGCAGCAGUGGGGAAUAUUGCACAAAGGGCGCAAGCCUGAUGCAGCCAUGCCGCGUGUAUGAAGAAGGCCUUCGGGUUGUAAAGUACUUUCAGCGGGGAGGAAGGGAGUAAAGUUAAUACCUUUGCUCAUUGACGUUACCCGCAGAAGAAGCACCGGCUAACUCCGUG
RNAcentral lists this ribosomal RNA (490 nucleotides) under uncultured bacterium. Its description in RNAcentral is "partial 16S ribosomal RNA". It matches the Rfam family "Bacterial small subunit ribosomal RNA", at positions 30 to 507 of the family's 1533-position model. The record is from RNAcentral.